AUUGAACGCUGGCGGCAGGCCUAACACAUGCAAGUCGAGCGAGCGGCGGACGGGUGAGUAAUGUAUGGGGAUCUGCCCGAUAGAGGGGGUUAACUACUGGAAACGGUGGCUAAUACCGCAUACUAUCCGAUGAACCCAUAUGGGAUUCGCUAGUAGGUGGGGUAAAGGCUCACCUAGGCGACGAUCUCUAGCUGGUCUGAGAGGAUGAACAGCCACACUGGGACUGAGACACGGCCCAGACUCCUACGGGAGGCAGCAGUGGGGAAUAUUGCACAAUGGGCGCAAGCCUGAUGCAGCCAUGCCGCGUGUAUGAAGAAGGCCUUCGGGUUGUAAAGUUCUUUUAGCGGGGAGGCGGUACCCGCAGAAGAAGCACCGGCUAACUCCGUGCCAGCAGCCGCGGUAAUAC
This 406-nucleotide ribosomal RNA is filed under the name uncultured bacterium. RNAcentral describes it as "partial 16S ribosomal RNA". It matches the Rfam family "Bacterial small subunit ribosomal RNA", at positions 30 to 526 of the family's 1533-position model. The record is from RNAcentral.